RNAcentral lists this ribosomal RNA (1361 nucleotides) under Listeria monocytogenes. RNAcentral describes it as "partial 23S ribosomal RNA". It matches the Rfam family "Bacterial large subunit ribosomal RNA", at positions 415 to 1774 of the family's 2925-position model. The record is from RNAcentral. Lineage: Bacteria; Bacillati; Bacillota; Bacilli; Caryophanales; Listeriaceae.
CGGCGGAACACGUGAAAUUCCGUCGGAAUCCGGGAGGACCAUCUCCCAAGGCUAAAUACUCCCUAGUGACCGAUAGUGAACCAGUACCGUGAGGGAAAGGUGAAAAGCACCCCGGAAGGGGAGUGAAACAGUUCCUGAAACCGUGUGCCUACAAGUAGUUAGAGCCCGUUAAUGGGUGAUAGCGUGCCUUUUGUAGAAUGAACCGGCGAGUUACGAUUUGUUGCAAGGUUAAGCGGAAAAAGCGGAGCCGUAGCGAAAGCGAGUCUGAAUAGGGCGCAUAAGUAACAGGUCGUAGACCCGAAACCAGGUGAUCUACCCAUGUCCAGGAUGAAGGUAAGGUAAUACUUACUGGAGGUCCGAACCCACGCACGUUGAAAAGUGCGGGGAUGAGGUGUGGGUAGCGGAGAAAUUCCAAUCGAACUUGGAGAUAGCUGGUUCUCUCCGAAAUAGCUUUAGGGCUAGCCUCGAGGUAAAGAGUCAUGGAGGUAGAGCACUGUUUGGACUAGGGGCCCUUCUCGGGUUACCGAAUUCAGAUAAACUCCGAAUGCCAUGUACUUAUACUCGGGAGUCAGACUGCGAGUGAUAAGAUCCGUAGUCGAAAGGGAAACAGCCCAGACCACCAGUUAAGGUCCCCAAAUAUAUGUUAAGUGGAAAAGGAUGUGGGGUUGCUUAGACAACCAGGAUGUUGGCUUAGAAGCAGCCACCAUUGAAAGAGUGCGUAAUAGCUCACUGGUCGAGUGACCCCGCGCCGAAAAUGUACCGGGGCUAAACAUAUUACCGAAACUGUGGAUGAACCUCUUUAGAGGUUCGUGGUAGGAGAGCGUUCUAAGGGCGGUGAAGUCAGACCGGAAGGACUGGUGGAGCGCUUAGAAGUGAGAAUGCCGGUAUGAGUAGCGAAAGAAGGGUGAGAAUCCCUUCCACCGAAUAUCUAAGGUUUCCUGAGGAAGGCUCGUCCGCUCAGGGUUAGUCGGGACCUAAGCCGAGGCCGAUAGGCGUAGGCGAUGGACAACAGGUAGAGAUUCCUGUACCAGUGCUAAUUGUUUAACCGAUGGGGUGACACAGAAGGAUAGGGAAUCGCACGAAUGGAAAUGUGCGUCCAAGCAGUGAGUGUGAGAAGUAGGCAAAUCCGCUUCUCGCGAAGCAUGAGCUGUGAUGGGGAAGGAAAUUAAGUACGGAAGUUCCUGAUUUCACGCUGUCAAGAAAAGCCUCUAGGAAGAGUAGUACUGCCCGUACCGCAAACCGACACAGGUAGAUGAGGAGAGAAUCCUAAGGUGAGCGAGAGAACUCUCGUUAAGGAACUCGGCAAAAUGACCCCGUAACUUCGGGAGAAGGGGUGCUCUAUUAGGGUGCAAGCCCGAGAG